RNAcentral lists this ribosomal RNA (487 nucleotides) under marine sediment bacterium ISA-2676. Its description in RNAcentral is "bacterial SSU rRNA". It matches the Rfam family "Bacterial small subunit ribosomal RNA", at positions 37 to 503 of the family's 1533-position model. The record is from RNAcentral.
UGGCGGCGUGCCUAAUACAUGCAAGUCGAGCGAAGAGAUGGGAGCUUGCUCCCUGAUCUUAGCGGCGGACGGGUGAGUAACACGUGGGCAACCUGCCCUGCAGACUGGGAUAACUCCGGGAAACCGGAGCUAAUACCGGGUAAUACAUCGCACCGCAUGGUGCAAUGUUGAAAGUUGGCUUUCUGAGCUAACACUGCAGGAUGGGCCCGCGGCGCAUUAGCUAGUUGGUAAGGUAAUGGCUUACCAAGGCGACGAUGCGUAGCCGACCUGAGAGGGUGAUCGGCCACACUGGGACUGAGACACGGCCCAGACUCCUACGGGAGGCAGCAGUAGGGAAUCUUCCGCAAUGGACGAAAGUCUGACGGAGCAACGCCGCGUGAGUGACGAAGGCCUUCGGGUCGUAAAGCUCUGUUGUUAGGGAAGAACAAGUACCGUUCGAAUAGGGCGGUACCUUGACGGUACCUAACCAGAAAGCCACGGCUAACUA